This 491-nucleotide ribosomal RNA is filed under the name uncultured bacterium. RNAcentral's name for it is "partial 16S ribosomal RNA". It matches the Rfam family "Bacterial small subunit ribosomal RNA", at positions 29 to 507 of the family's 1533-position model. The record is from RNAcentral.
GUGAACGCUGGCGGUAGGCCUAACACAUGCCGGUCGAACGGCAGCACAGUAAGAGCUUGCUCUUACGGGUGGCGAGUGGCGGACGGGUGAGGAAUACAUCGGAAUCUACUUUUUCGUGGGGGAUAACGUAGGGAAACUUACGCUAAUACCGCAUACGACCUACGGGUGAAAGCAGGGGAUCUUCGGACCUUGCGCGAUUGAAUGAGCCGAUGUCGGAUUAGCUAGUUGGCGGGGUAAAGGCCCACCAAGGCGACGAUCCGUAGCUGGUCUGAGAGGAUGAUCAGCCACACUGGAACUGAGACACGGUCCAGACUCCUACGGGAGGCAGCAGUGGGGAAUAUUGGACAAUGGGCGCAAGCCUGAUCCAGCCAUGCCGCGUGGGUGAAGAAGGCCUUCGGGUUGUAAAGCCCUUUUGUUGGGAAAGAAAAGCAGCAGGUUAAUACCCCGCUGUUCUGACGGUACCCAAAGAAUAAGCACCGGCUAACUUCGUG